AUUGAACGCUGGCGGCAGGCCUAACACAUGCAAGUCGAGCGGAUGAAGGGAGCUUGCUCCUGGAUUCAGCGGCGGACGGGUGAGUAAUGCCUAGGAAUCUGCCUGGUAGUGGGGGAUAACGUCCGGAAACGGGCGCUAAUACCGCAUACGUCCUGAGGGAGAAAGUGGGGGAUCUUCGGACUUCACGCUAUCAGAUGAGCCUAGGUCGGAUUAGCUAGUUGGUGGGGUAAAUGCCUACCAAGGCGACGAUCCGUAACUGGUCUGAGAGGAUGAUCAGUCACACUGGAACUGAGACACGGUCCAGACUCCUACGGGAGGCAGCAGUGGGGAAUAUUGGACAAUGGGCGAAAGCCUGAUCCAGCCAUGCCGCGUGUGUGAAGAAGGUCUUCGGAUUGUAAAGCACUUUAAGUUGGGAGGAAGGGCAGUAAGUUAAUACCUUGCUGUUUUGACGUUACCAACAGAAUAAGCACCGGCUAACUUCGUG
Molecule: ribosomal RNA, 484 nt
Filed under: uncultured bacterium
Lineage: Bacteria
Description: partial 16S ribosomal RNA
Rfam family: Bacterial small subunit ribosomal RNA
Source: RNAcentral